This 339-nucleotide unclassified non-coding RNA is filed under the name soil metagenome. RNAcentral describes it as "partial contains 5.8S ribosomal RNA, internal transcribed spacer 2, and large subunit ribosomal RNA". The stretch from base 1 to 120 matches the Rfam family "5.8S ribosomal RNA", at positions 35 to 154 of the family's 154-position model. The record is from RNAcentral.
GAUGAAGAACGCAGCGAAAUGCGAUACGUAGUGUGAAUUGCAGAAUUCAGUGAAUCAUCGAAUCUUUGAACGCACAUUGCACCUCUCGGUAUUCCGGGAGGUAUGCCUGUUCGAGCGUCAUUUGUACCCUCAAGCUCUGCUUGGUGUUGGGUGUUUGUUCCGCCUCUGUGUGUGAACUCGCCUCAAAACAAUUGGCAGCCGUCGUACUUGUUUCGGAGCGCAGCACAUUUUGCGAUCCAGAUCAACGUACAGCGGCAUCCAAGAAGCCUUAUUUAACGCUCUUGACCUCGGAUCAGGUAGGGAUACCCGCUGAACUUAAGCAUAUCAAUAAGCGGAGGA